Pelobates cultripes (western spadefoot toad) is the source of this 89-nucleotide non-coding RNA. Lineage: Eukaryota; Metazoa; Chordata; Amphibia; Anura; Pelobatidae. The record is from the annotation of a GenBank genome assembly.
CCUUCGAUAGCUCAGCUGGUAGAGCGGAGGACUGUAGUUGGUAUAUAUUAGCAAACCUUAGGUCGCUGGUUCAAUUCCGGCUCGAAGGA